Molecule: ribosomal RNA, 427 nt
Filed under: uncultured microorganism
Description: bacterial SSU rRNA
Rfam family: Bacterial small subunit ribosomal RNA
Source: RNAcentral
UGGGGAAUAUUGCACAAUGGGGGAAACCCUGAUGCAGCCAUGCCGCGUGUGUGAAGAAGGCCUUCGGGUUGUAAAGCACUUUCAGCGAGGAGGAAGGUAUUUGCGUUAAUAGCGCGGAUAAUUGACGUUACUCGCAGAAGAAGCACCGGCUAACUCCGUGCCAGCAGCCGCGGUAAUACGGAGGGUGCGAGCGUUAAUCGGAAUUACUGGGCGUAAAGCGUACGCAGGCGGUUUGUUAAGUCAGAUGUGAAAUCCCCGAGCUUAACUCGGGAACUGCAUUUGAAACUGGCAAGCUAGAGUCUCGUAGAGGGGGGUAGAAUUCCAGGUGUAGCGGUGAAAUGCGUAGAGAUCUGGAGGAAUACCGGUGGCGAAGGCGGCCCCCUGGACGAAGACUGACGCUCAGGUACGAAAGCGUGGGGAGCAAACA